This 427-nucleotide ribosomal RNA is filed under the name uncultured Caenimonas sp. Its description in RNAcentral is "bacterial SSU rRNA". It matches the Rfam family "Bacterial small subunit ribosomal RNA", at positions 355 to 774 of the family's 1533-position model. The record is from RNAcentral. Lineage: Bacteria; Pseudomonadati; Pseudomonadota; Betaproteobacteria; Burkholderiales; Comamonadaceae.
UGGGGAAUUUUGGACAAUGGGCGAAAGCCUGAUCCAGCCAUUCCGCGUGCAGGAUGAAGGCCUUCGGGUUGUAAACUGCUUUUGUACGGAACGAAAAGCCUUCUUCUAAUACAGGAGGGUCAUGACGGUACCGUAAGAAUAAGCACCGGCUAACUACGUGCCAGCAGCCGCGGUAAUACGUAGGGUGCAAGCGUUAAUCGGAAUUACUGGGCGUAAAGCGUGCGCAGGCGGUUAUGUAAGACAGAUGUGAAAUCCCCGGGCUCAACCUGGGAACUGCAUUUGUGACUGCAUAGCUAGAGUACGGUAGAGGGGGAUGGAAUUCCGCGUGUAGCAGUGAAAUGCGUAGAUAUGCGGAGGAACACCGAUGGCGAAGGCAAUCCCCUGGACCUGUACUGACGCUCAUGCACGAAAGCGUGGGGAGCAAACA